RNAcentral lists this ribosomal RNA (631 nucleotides) under Fusarium pseudocircinatum. RNAcentral describes it as "partial 28S ribosomal RNA". It matches the Rfam family "Eukaryotic large subunit ribosomal RNA", at positions 1 to 654 of the family's 3401-position model. Lineage: Eukaryota; Fungi; Ascomycota; Sordariomycetes; Hypocreales; Nectriaceae. The record is from RNAcentral.
UUGACCUCGGAUCAGGUAGGAAUACCCGCUGAACUUAAGCAUAUCAAUAAGCGGAGGAAAAGAAACCAACAGGGAUUGCCCUAGUAACGGCGAGUGAAGCGGCAACAGCUCAAAUUUGAAAUCUGGCUCUCGGGCCCGAGUUGUAAUUUGUAGAGGAUACUUUUGAUGCGGUGCCUUCCGAGUUCCCUGGAACGGGACGCCAUAGAGGGUGAGAGCCCCGUCUGGUUGGAUGCCAAAUCUCUGUAAAGUUCCUUCGACGAGUCGAGUAGUUUGGGAAUGCUGCUCUAAAUGGGAGGUAUAUGUCUUCUAAAGCUAAAUACCGGCCAGAGACCGAUAGCGCACAAGUAGAGUGAUCGAAAGAUGAAAAGCACUUUGAAAAGAGAGUUAAAAAGUACGUGAAAUUGUUGAAAGGGAAGCGUUUAUGACCAGACUUGGGCUUGGUUGAUCAUCUGGGGUUCUCCCCAGUGCACUCUUCCAGUCCAGGCCAGCAUCAGUUUUCGCCGGGGGAUAAAGACUUCGGGAAUGUGGCUCUCUUCGGGGAGUGUUAUAGCCCGUUGUGUAAUACCCCGGCGGGGACUGAGGUUCGCGCAUCUGCAAGGAUGCUGGCGUAAUGGUCAUCAACGACCCGUCU